CAGGGGUGACAGUUACUCUCACCGCAUGUUCUUCUCUAACAACAGAGCUUUACGACCCGAAGGCCUUCUUCGCUCACGCGGCGUUGCUCGGUCAGACUUUCGUCCAUUGCCGAAGAUUCCCUACUGCUGCCUCCCGUAGGAGUAAGGA
RNAcentral lists this ribosomal RNA (148 nucleotides) under uncultured bacterium. Its description in RNAcentral is "partial 16S ribosomal RNA". The record is from RNAcentral.